RNAcentral lists this ribosomal RNA (527 nucleotides) under Semiricinula muricoides. Its description in RNAcentral is "partial 12S ribosomal RNA". Lineage: Eukaryota; Metazoa; Mollusca; Gastropoda; Neogastropoda; Muricidae. The record is from RNAcentral.
AAACCAAGAAGAUUAAGUCAUGUAUUUUCGGUAAAAAGACAGUUAGGUAAUAAAAAGCUUGUUUAAUUAUUAUCGAGAAGUAAAAUUCGCAAAUAACACAGAAACUUAUUUAUAGCUAAAAAACUGAAGCUGUGACAUCCUUGAGGGAAACUGGGAUUAGAUACCCCAUUAUUCUUGGGAGUGAAGAAAUAUAGUUUACCAGAGUACUAUGGAUUGAUGACAUUUAAAACUCAAAGAGCUUGGCGGUGUUUUAGACUCUUUAGGGGAACCUGUCUCAUAAUCGACAAUCCACGUAAAACCUGACCUUUAUUUGCUUUCAGUUUGUAUACCGUCGUCGUCAGGUAACUUUUUAGAAAAAAGAAGUUAGCAAUAGAGUUAUUGAUAAACUUUUACGUCAGAUCAAGGUGCAGCUAACGUAAAGGGGAGGAUGGGUUACAAUUAUAAGAAUUAUAAUAACGAAAUAACACUGUUAAAUAAUAGUUAUGAAGGAGGACUUAAAAGUAAAAUAUAAUAUAUAAAUAUAUUGG